Molecule: ribosomal RNA, 609 nt
Filed under: Debaryomyces hansenii
Lineage: Eukaryota; Fungi; Ascomycota; Pichiomycetes; Serinales; Debaryomycetaceae
Description: LSU rRNA
Rfam family: Eukaryotic large subunit ribosomal RNA
Source: RNAcentral
AUUAUCCGGCAUGCUUAGUACGGCGAGUGAAGCGGCAAAAGCUCAAAUUUGAAAUCUGGCACCUUCGGUGUCCGAGUUGUAAUUUGAAGAAGGUAACUUUGGAGUUGGCUCUUGUCUAUGUUCCUUGGAACAGGACGUCACAGAGGGUGAGAAUCCCGUGCGAUGAGAUGCCCAAUUCUAUGUAAAGUGCUUUCGAAGAGUCGAGUUGUUUGGGAAUGCAGCUCUAAGUGGGUGGUAAAUUCCAUCUAAAGCUAAAUAUUGGCGAGAGACCGAUAGCGAACAAGUACAGUGAUGGAAAGAUGAAAAGAACUUUGAAAAGAGAGUGAAAAAGUACGUGAAAUUGUUGAAAGGGAAGGGCUUGAGAUCAGACUUGGUAUUUUGCGAUCCUUUCCUUCUUGGUUGGGUUCCUCGCAGCUUACUGGGCCAGCAUCGGUUUGGAUGGUAGGAUAAUGACUAAGGAAUGUGGCUCUACUUCGGUGGAGUGUUAUAGCCUUGGUUGAUACUGCCUGUCUAGACCGAGGACUGCGUCUUUUGACUAGGAUGUUGGCAUAAUGAUCUUAAGCCACCCGUCUUGAAACCGGGACCAAAAAAAUCAAUUAAAAAGGAACC